CAGUAAAAUGAAAGAAAAAGAGUUGCGGGUUGUGGUCUUCCAGAUAUGUCGAUGGAUUUAUGGGUUUUUCUAGGAAAAAAUUUUACGUAUAAAAACCCGACCAUAACUCCCCCUUUUUAUUUCCCUUUCCGUUCAAUCUUAUUCUAUUUUGUGGUGAUUUAGCAGAGAAGAAUCGACAAGUAACUACGUAAGGACAUGGCUACUCGAGUUGGAUGAAGUGUUUAAUACUCCGUAAAACACUAGCGAUGAUCAUAUAAGCGGCAAUGAUACAAACUUCAGAUCUCUAAUACCGAUAUCAGGUGCGGAUUAGGUUGGGAGGUUUCCCAGGCCCUGCCAGACAUCUGAGUUGUAAUGUGUUUGUAGAAAGAAGGGAUUUUGGUUAUUGAAUACCUACUGAAUCGAAGAUUGUGGGGGUACUCUUGCAGAACCACGGUGUACAUAACGCAUUCUGAACUACCCAUGAUCCUAACAGGCAUAGAUUUUUGGUUUACUAUCGUGUUGUCGAAGGAACUUAUGCAGGCUCGUAGAAUUUGGAAUGAAGUUGUACUCCUGAAGAUAAUCCUAAGAAGUUGAUGUCAGUUUCGGAU
Long non-coding RNA from Papaver somniferum (opium poppy), 587 nucleotides. RefSeq lists it as uncharacterized. Lineage: Eukaryota; Viridiplantae; Streptophyta; Magnoliopsida; Ranunculales; Papaveraceae. The record is from RefSeq and is a predicted model, not a curated record. The transcript is spliced from 3 exons.